Molecule: long non-coding RNA, 1348 nt
Organism: Monodelphis domestica (gray short-tailed opossum)
Lineage: Eukaryota; Metazoa; Chordata; Mammalia; Didelphimorphia; Didelphidae
Source: RefSeq, a predicted model, not a curated record
AUUCCAGGAGAGAAUCAGAAGCUUGGAGGUCCAACUGGCCACUCACUUUCAGUUGGGAGCCUGAGGAAAGAGGUGGAUCUCCUAGGCUGGGAAGAAGCCUGUCUCUCUGGAGAUCAACUGUCUCUUUCUGCACCCCUGGAUACCUCUCACUCAACUCUCAAUAACAGCAAUCUAAAGUCACCAGUGGAUUUUGUGGACAGGGACUUUGAAGAGAACCAUCCACAGAUCCCUUCCAAGGAUCUCCCUCUCUAUCUCUCCCUUAUUUGUCCCUGGACUCCUAUAUUCAAGUUAGUUAGCUUAGGAGUAGGGACCAACAGGCAGUUGGCAAGAAGAGGGAUGAAGGCUGAGAAGCCUUGAACCCCUAGACUUUGGACAGCAAAUUUACCAGAUGGGAUGACAUUUCCUUUAUAAGAGUAACCAUCCAAAUCAGAAGUUCAAAUAAUCACUAGUGAUGCAUUUGUCAAAGAAAUGGUGGGCAAAUCACUCUUCUUUGCUGGACCUCAGUUUUCUAACUACUAUGUACAGCAUAUGAAUAAGCAGAAAAUUCCGUCAGUUCAAGAUACUUUAUCACCCAUUCAACACUAUAGCUCAGGUGUACCCACCCAUACUUACUUUAACCAAGACAGUAGCAAAUUAAGUGGCAAUAGAAAUACCCUUCAGCCUCAUAUUCUUUCAUGGAUUGUCAUAUCCCUAGUGAGUGAAUGCACACACUCUCCUGCUCUAGCAUAACUGAUCAAAGAAAAUGCAGAAAGCAGAAUAUAUACAUGAAGAAUAUAUGAUCAGAGCACUCACAUUAUAUUCUUUUGGGGGGGAGGAGAGGUAGGGAUAUGUGCACAGAUAAAUAAAUACAAAUGGCUUGAGGAGGAAGACACAUAAAAUGUGGACAUUACGGAAGACUUUGAAUAGAAUGUAGCAGCUGAGCUGACCCUUAAAGAAAACUCGGGAUUCUAAAAGUCAAAGUGAGAAGUAAGGGCAUUCCAGGAUGGGAGUUGGCCUAUGAAUAGGCACAGAGAAGGGAAAUGAAAUUGGUUUUGGAGUACAAUAAAUAUCUUUUACCUGUGACCAAUUCAAGAAAAAUAAAAGCAUUCUCAAGUGCUAUUAUUGUGGUUUCCCUAUGCCCUUCAUGAGCAACAGCAAUCUUUCUGAAAGUUUUAACAUCACUCUAUUGGGAUUUACACAUGGCUGUUCUGAUCCAAAGGAAUUAAGGCUGACUAGCAUAACAACAUAUUAACCAUCUGUUAUUGUACAACACACCCACUAUAAGCUAUAAUGAUCAGAAAUUACUGUGGUUGCCUAUAAUAUCUUUUUCUUUUCCUCCUGGGAAGAUAAAUAUUUCCACAUCCCUGUC